Molecule: non-coding RNA, 4545 nt
Organism: Rattus norvegicus (Norway rat)
Lineage: Eukaryota; Metazoa; Chordata; Mammalia; Rodentia; Muridae
Source: RefSeq, a predicted model, not a curated record
UCUUGAAAUAAAUAAUUUAUUAACAAUAUUAUUCUUCCAAUAAAUACCAUCAAUCGUCCGGUGAGAAUACAGAAAGUAACAGCUCAGCAACGCUGCACAAACAUCCCUUAGAUUCCAGUGUUAGUUUGGCAGAGCAGCUCCCUGAGUGCUCAACAGGAAGUACCUAGGAUUGGUCUCCAGCUCUGCCCUCCCCAAGGAAGAACACUUAACAUUCACUUUAGAGUUCAGAAACACAAGCUUAGAUACAGCCUCCGUAACCGCUGAGCCCUUAAAGCUACAUUAAAAUCUUCCGUACUAGUUUACCUUAUUAGAGAGGAAAAAAUACUGGUCUAAGUCAAAAACCCUGGGUUCUCAUCUUAAUUUUGACCUCGCCCUGGUUUUCUGAGAUACACUGUUGUAGUCAGGCCAAUCUCACCACUUGAGUACUGAGACUACAGGCAUAAGCCUGUACCUUUCAUAUACAGGUAGGUCUUUAAGUUUUUUAUGGUAUUUUCCAUAGGAUAACCACCCCACGGUUUCUCUGUGUAGCUCUGGCUGUCCUAAAACUCUGUAAACCAGGCUAAGCUUCAAACUCAAGAGAUCUGUCUGCCUCUGCUCCCCACUGCUGGCAUCAAAGGCAUGCACCACCACGGCUCACUCCAUACCUUCAAGUUUAAAGUGUACAUGUUUUUAGUAUGUUUAUACUUACUUAGCAUGUUAUAUAUUUACUACAAUGUCUGAUUUUAGUAGUCUCUGUCCAAGCCCCAAAACUCUUCAUUGUUAGCAAUCAAUCGCCCACCCUAUGUCUUUACAGACUUGCCUAUUCUGCAUUAUUUCAUGUAACUUAUGCUAAUUACUAGCAUCACUAAUAUUGUUAGCAAGUAACUCGAUCUGUGUGAAUAGGUUCUUCCACUUAAGAUUUCAAAACUCUCCCAUGCUGUGCUGUCUGUCAGGGUCUGCAGCCACUUUUAUUGCUUUUAUUGUUCUCUUGUAUGGAAAGACAGGAUAGCGCAUACUACUUAUCCAUUCUUCAGCUGGGCUCUGGGGUUGCCUCCACUUUUAGCUAUUAUAAACAACGUUAUAUAGGAUUUUAUGUGUACCUAUUUGUGCUCAAUCAUCUAAUAACGCAAUGUUUACCCUUUUAAUUAACUGCCAAACUGUGUUUCAAGGCAGCUGUAGUAAUCUGCAUUUCUAUCAGUUUAAACUGUUCCAUUGUGCCCUUGCAACAUUUUGUUUCCUUUUUUAAUAAAAAAAAAAAGACUUUAUUAUAUGUGUACAUAUACUACUCUAUUUAUUAUGUGUACACUGUAGCUGUCUUGAGACACACCAGAAGGGGCAUUAGAUCCCAUUACAGAUGGUUGUGAGCCACCACGUGGUUGCUGGGAAUUGAACUCAGGACCUCUGAAGAGCAGUUAGUGCUUUUUACCGCUGAGCCAUCUCUCCAACCCAACAUUUUGUUUCUUAAAGACAGGGUCUCAUUAUGUCAUCUGGUUGGCCUCAAACUUGCUAUGUAGUCCUGGUUAGCCUUGAACUCAAAGAUACUGCCUGUUUCCCGAGUAACGGGAUUGAAGAUGUAUGCAACCACAGCAUGCUUAAACACUGGUCACUUUUCAUUACACUCAUAGUGGGCACAAAUAAAAAUAAAAAGGAUGGAAAAAUUUAUGUCAUUUUUAAAAAAAAAUCAUUUAACUUUAUGUGCAUUAGUAUUUUGCCUACAUUUAUGUCUAUGUGAGGGUGUUGAAUCCCUGGGAGCCAGAGCUACACUUGUUAGCUGCCAUGCAGGUGUUGGGAAUUGAACACAGCUCUGCUGGAAGAGCAGCUGGUGGUUUUAGCUGCUAAGCCAUCUCUCUAGCCCCUAUAUAGUACUUCUUAAAACUACUCUACAUACUAAGGUGUCGCAGUAAAAGAAAUAAAUACAUUAAUCAGACUCCUUUAUGACAAUUACUGAAGGACAAGAGUUGGUUAGAACCCUUAAUAUAUAAUGAAGAAACCAACCGUUUGACAUUCAGCUAUAGUUGACGGAUGUAGUUUAACACAGGGGAAAGAGCCAUAGAAACCUUGCUGACAGGUGUACACACUAGUGAUCUGCAACCAAUUAUUCAGCUGUUGGACUGAACUGUAUUAGAGUGAAAUUAUUCAGAAAAAGAAGUUUCUGGAUUGAAUGUGUUUAGACAUUUCUGGCCUUCUCUAAGCAUCAGGAAUUUUUUGGUUUUGGUGGGGUUUUUGUUGUUGUUGUUUUUCCCCCUCAGGGUUUCUCUAUAUAACCCUGACAGUCCUGGAGCUCACUUUGUAGACCCCGCUGACCUUGAACUCAUAGAGAUCUACCUGCCUCUGCCUCCCAAGUGCUGGGAUUAAGAUGCAUUACCACCACCAGGUCAACAACAUGAUUCUAAUUUAAACAGCAUAUACACUGUCCCAAGCAUUGUCAACAAUUUAGAGAUCAUUUAAACUGUACAGAAAGGAAGAAUAUGUAAGGGAAUAUAUAAAUACUGUGCCAUUUUAUACGUGGAAUGUGUGCAUCCUCAGAUGUUGGUAUUGAGAGUUAUGAAUGCAAUCCCAACAUGUAAAGUCAAACUCAUCAAGUCACCUUUGCUGCAGUGAGCUUUCUCAGCCACAAGCAGCACAACAAAGCAUCGAGAGCGAGUCCUCUGAAAUGCGCAUUUAAGUGUACUUAAGAUGACUGGAAAUUCCCCUUCUCAGGUAAAUACUCUUAUUUUCAUCUCUUUCUUCCCCAAUGCCUAUCUCAUACACUAAUCUUGCUAAAGAAAACAAAAACCUAGUUUAUCCACUGUAUUUAUUCUUUUCUGUGUAGGAGGAUACCUUCAGUGUCUGAGAGAUAGGCCAGCCAAUCUUCCUCAGCUGCUUCGAUGAACCUGAAGUCUAUUUACGGAUUACGGUGGCUAGCCAGCAAACCCCUGGUCUCCUCCUGUCUCCUCCUCCUCCUCAACCUGGCGUUACAGGCGCAUGCCACUGCUCCAUGAGUACUGCAAUCCAGACUAAGGUUUGACUCCCUGAGCCACUUCCCCAGUUUACUAUUCACAUUCCUUUAGUAAUUAGACACUAUUCAGUAUAUAACAGAAGGAUUAACAGUUUAAACAGUUGAAACAAGAAUGAUUCAUCCUAAAGUGUUCUGAAACUCUAUUCAGUUACACAAACCCAAAGCUACAAAGUCCAUAACCAAAAAAGAAAGUUCUAAUGGCGUCUGGAUGGGAAUUACAUUUUUCUGGGUUUCCCCCACCCCUGAGUGGGUAGAGUGGGGGUUCCCUCCAUUGCUGUAUUGAACCAAAGGUCUUAUAUGUGAUAAGAAAAUAUUUUACCAUUGAACUAUCUCUAGCCCUGAAUGGUACUAAAUUAUGAAUUAAACUCAUUUUCAACACACUCUGCCCAAAGACAGAUUAUUUAAGAAGAAAAAUUGCUCUUAAUAAUGGUAUCAAUGGAUGUCUAAAUUGUUAGAAAACAAGCCAAGCAGGGCAAUAUGAUCAUCAUCCUGAUAUUCACGAGGGAGAGGCAGGAAGACUGCAAGUGCAAGUGCAAGUGCAAGGUCAGCCCAGGCUAUAUUGGGAGAUCCUGUCUCAAAGAACCAGAACGUCCAGGACCAGAAGUGCUAUAGUUUCUUCCGAUGUGUUCUUGAAUGGGAGGAAAUGGCAUCCAGAAACUCAGUCAAGGCCAUGAAUCAAAACAGACUGAACCUGAUUCCAGGAGGCAAAGGCAAAGGCAGGCAGAUUCCUGCAAGUUCCAGGCCAGCUUCGUCUACACAGUAAGUUCCAAGCCAUCCAAGGCUACAUGAGAACAGAGCAAGCAAACAAAAUACAAAAACAAACCACAGUGAAACAAAGAGGGUUAAGAAUUUAGCUGUCUCUUGUGCAGACUUUAGGUUUACACAAAUGAAUAACAUUCUCAAUAAUUUAUGCAAUUAUUUUUUCACAAAUUUAUACUAAAUUACAAUGACUAUUGCUUCAAAUAAUCAUAAAAGUUGUGUUUUGUAGGUAUUCUGGUAGUAGCUUCUGUUAAUCUGGGAUAUUUUAAUGCUCUUGGACUAAAACUCCUUUAUGGUGAAAUAAGCUGGGUCAGAACCUCCCUGUUACAGUCUGAACAGAAACCAACUACCAAAAGCAUGUCUCUGCUAUGCAUACAACUUCUGCUUGUCCUUCCUUAUACAGGGCAAGGAAAUUCGAGAGAGUCUAUCUGGCCAGUGAUUCGGGAAGGUUAGAAAUACUUUAUAAAUCACUGUGCUACAUGAAGAGCUGGACAAAGGACACCUGUGCCUCUUGCAUUACAAGUUCCUACCAAGAAACUGGUGGUGGUUUUCCUCCACCAAACCAGGAGCCUUGGCUAACACUGUUUAUAACUCUUUUCACAUCAGAACGGGCUUCUCCAUUUUUGAUUUUGUACCUCCCACAGUAAAAUAAAGGCUGUCUCAGUUUUUCCAUCUCACUAAUUAAAAUGGAGAUUUUGUUAAGAAUGGACUGCAGAGAACAGCUGUAAAAAUUACACUUUACCUACUAAUAACAACUUUGGAAGUAUGGCAACUCAGUUUUCACAAUAAAGUGAUAUAUAGAAAGAUUA